UGCAAUCAACAAGAAUACAUCGCAAACCACCGGUUCCAAUACAUACAUUUACCAAAAUUGCUUACGUAUUUUUUUUCGCUAAAUCUUCAGGGAAGCAGAAUUCUGAAAAUUUUAAAGAAUAAUGGGAAAGACUAGAGUUUUCAUGUUGUUGGCGUGCCUGGCCAUGGUCUUGUUGGCGGCUGGGUGUGCAGACGCGUUGUCUUGUCGGGCUCAAGGAGGUUCUCGUGGGAGCAGGUGCGUCUGGGGAUCGUGUCCGUCGGGCUGGCGAAGUGUUUUUUGGGACUCGGGAUGCCGCAGUGGUCAAAGGUGUUGUAUCUGAAAUUCAGACAUGUUGGUCGCAAUGGUUUGCUGAAAAAAUCAUUAUAUUUAUGCCUUGUUCUGUUCUGUAAAAAUUGAAAAUAUGUAGUUUUCUAAAUUUCAAGCUAGUAUAUUCAUUUUCACAAUUUUAUUAAGCAUUAUUCUAACACUAUUCAUAUACUUUUAUAAUGUUUAAUUGGCCCGAUACUAAUAACAUUUUGAAAAGCUGACAAUAAAACUUUUCGAGAAAAUUUAACUGCACAAA
Long non-coding RNA from Folsomia candida, 562 nucleotides. RefSeq lists it as uncharacterized. Lineage: Eukaryota; Metazoa; Arthropoda; Collembola; Entomobryomorpha; Isotomidae. The record is from RefSeq and is a predicted model, not a curated record. The transcript has 2 exons.